Molecule: long non-coding RNA, 204 nt
Filed under: Elaeis guineensis (African oil palm)
Lineage: Eukaryota; Viridiplantae; Streptophyta; Magnoliopsida; Arecales; Arecaceae
Description: long non-coding RNA (EGUI_LNC037319)
Source: RNAcentral
AUGUGGAAGCAUCAGAAUUAAUUUCAAGAGUCACUUCACAUAGAAGAACUUUUCAGAAUUAAUUCUCUGGUGUUUCUCCGAAGAGUCGCGCAACUUCUCAUUUGGUGCCUCACCUCUCCAUCCUUGAUCAGCUCACAAAGCCAUCCAAGGGUCUACAAGGGAGGUGCUAAUCUGAGUUGGGUGUGGGAAAAAAUUUGAAGAAAG